This 465-nucleotide ribosomal RNA is filed under the name Vreelandella stevensii. RNAcentral's name for it is "partial 16S ribosomal RNA". It matches the Rfam family "Bacterial small subunit ribosomal RNA", at positions 338 to 795 of the family's 1533-position model. Lineage: Bacteria; Pseudomonadati; Pseudomonadota; Gammaproteobacteria; Oceanospirillales; Halomonadaceae. The record is from RNAcentral.
CCUACGGGAGGCAGCAGUGGGGAAUAUUGGACAAUGGGGGCAACCCUGAUCCAGCCAUGCCGCGUGUGUGAAGAAGGCCCUCGGGUUGUAAAGCACUUUCAGUGAGGAAGAACGCCUGGUGGUUAAUACCCAUCAGGAAAGACAUCACUCACAGAAGAAGCACCGGCUAACUCCGUGCCAGCAGCCGCGGUAAUACGGAGGGUGCGAGCGUUAAUCGGAAUUACUGGGCGUAAAGCGCGCGUAGGUGGCUUGAUAAGCCGGUUGUGAAAGCCCCGGGCUCAACCUGGGAACGGCAUCCGGAACUGUCAAGCUAGAGUGCAGGAGAGGAAGGUAGAAUUCCCGGUGUAGCGGUGAAAUGCGUAGAGAUCGGGAGGAAUACCAGUGGCGAAGGCGGCCUUCUGGACUGACACUGACACUGAGGUGCGAAAGCGUGGGUAGCAAACAGGAAUAGAUACCCCGGUAGUC